UAUGGGGCGGCAGGGUAGCCUAGUGGUUAGAGCGUUGGACUAGUAACCGGAAGGUUGCAAGCUCAAACCCCCGAGCUGACAAGGUACAAAUCUGUUGUUCUGCCCCUGAACAGGCAGUUCCUAGGCCGUCAUUGAAAAUAAGAAUUUGUUCUUAACUGACUUGCCUAGUUAAAUAAAAGUUUAAAAAAAUAUAUAUCACAAGUUUAAUAGUCCAGAGUGGUAGUACUGUGAAUCUUAGAAGUGCUGAGCCCUGAGGGGUACAGGCAGAAGGUUUGUCCUAUUGCAGUAAUGGCUGUAGAGAAGCAUUAUGUUGCUGCAUGUGACCAGAUACUAGACCAUCAGCCCCAGAUGUCUAUAUUCAGUCCAUCAACCCCAGAUGUCUGUAUUCAGACCAUCAGCCCCAGAUGUCUACAUUCAGUCCAUCAGCCCCAGAUGUCUAUAUUCAGUCCAUCAGCCCCAGAUGUCUGUAUUCAGACCAUCAGCCCCAGAUGUCUAUAUUCAGUCCAUCAGCAUCAGAUAUCUAUAUUCAGACCAUCAGCCCCAGAUGUCUGUAUUCAGUACAGCAGAUAACACUACCUCUUCAUCUGAAGACACUAAACCAACAGUCUUUUCUCUUUUAAACAAAACAAUUAUUUAACAGUACCAAAAUCAACAGACACUAAACUUUCACUAUCUUUUUAUUUGAUUUCUGAAUGUCAUUUUCCCCUACAUGGGUUUAGCUGUAGUGGAUAUAUUUUGGGAGGUACUUGAGAAAUGUACAGCAAACAGGAAGUCCAAUGGUUUCGUUGACGAGAACCCUUUAGAGUUCAAUUUGAAAGAACCCAGUAGAGAUACUGACUCCCAAAUGGAACACUAUUUACUACAUAGUUUAGACUGGGCUCCUUAGUGCACUACUGUUGACCAGAGCCCUAUGUGGGGAACAGGGUGUCAUUUGGGACGCAGUCACUCCGAGACGAUCUGACCACUGUGUCCUACAGACUGGUAUGUGUUGGGUUACGGAGAGAUGAUCUGACCACUGUGUCCUACAGACUGGUAAGUGUUGGGUUACGGAGAGAUAAUCUGACCACUGUGUCCAACAGACUGGUAAGUGUUGGGUUACGGCGAGACGAUCUGACCACUGUGUCCAACAGACUGGUAAGUGUUGGGUUACGGAGAGAUGAUCUGACCACUGUGUCCUACAGACUGGUAAGUGUUGGGUUACGGAGAGACGAUCUGACCGCUGUGUCCUACAGACUGGUAAGUGUUUGGUUACGGAGAGACGAUCUGACCACUGUGUCCUACAGACUGGUAAGUGUUGGGUUACGGAGAGACGAUCUGACCACUGUGUCCAACAGACUGGUAAGUGUUGGGUUACGGAGAGAUGAUCUGACCACUGUGUCCUACAGACUGGUAAGUGUUGGGUUACGGAGAGACGAUCUGACCACUGUGUCCAACAGACUGGUAAGUGCUGGGUUAUGGAGAGACGAUCUGACCACUGUGUCCUACAGACUGGUAAGUGUUGGGUUACGGAGAGACGAUCUGACCACUGUGUCCAACAGACUGGUAAGUGUUGGGUUACGGAGAGAUGAUCUGACCACUGUGUCCUACAGACUGGUAAGUGUUGGGUUACGGAGAGACGAUCUGACCACUGUGUCCAACAGACUGGUAAGUGCUGGGUUAUGGAGAGACGAUCUGACCACUGUGUCCUACAGACUGGUAAGUGUUGGGUUACGGAGAGACGAUACAAUUGAUGCAUUGUGACUCUUGUACAUGUUCUACAGAUCUACAGUUAUUAACCUGUACAGUGACAGUUCAACCACUAGUCUAGAGUUGUACUACCUUCUACUAGAGUUGUACUACAUUCUACUAGAGUUGUACUACCUUCUACUAGAGUUGUACUACCUUCGACUAGAGUUGUACUACCUUCUACUAGAGUUGUACUACCUUCUACUAGAGUUGUACUACCUUCUACUAGAGUUGUACUACCUUCUACUAGAGUUGUACUACAUUCUGCAUGUCCAGAAAACUGUUGAAACAGUCGGUCAGAUUGUUUAACACAAUAAAAUAGGAAAAUCUAUAACGAUGUGGCAGUCUUCGCCAUACUGGCUACUGGACAUGUAAGGAUUGACAUUUCUAAAAGGUUGCAUCUUGGACAUUCACAGCUGGCACGCCAUUUUAGAAAUUUCCCUGACUGAGAGGCAGGUGUAAAGCCAAACGCGGUUGUCCGAACCCCCCCACACAAACUCCAACUAACACUCUGCAACACUACAAGACAUCACCCCCUCACAACACUACAACCCGACUCCGACACAGGCCCUUAGAGGGCUUUGUUGUUUAAACCUCCCCUCACCUCUUCAUAAGGUACACAUCAUCCCAUAUUAAACAUGGCUACCUCUUCAUCUCAACAGGCACCAUUUUAAGACCUCAAUAUCUCACUUUAGAUAAUCUUCAAGAAGAGUGUUGAAAACAACCACUGUAACUACAUCCCUAAUGAAACCUUAUACCCUAUAUAGUGCGCUACUUUGACCAGGGCCCUAUGGCACUGUAUUUGGUAUUUUAUUAGGAUCCCCAUUGGCUGUUGCAAAAGCAGCAGCUACUCUUCCUGGGGUUCCACACAGAACAUGAAACAUAAUAUAGAACAUUAAUAGACAAGAACAGCUCAAUGACAGAACUACAUACAUUUUUAAAAAGGCACACGUAGCCUACAUAUCAAUGGACAAACUAUCUAGGUCAAAUAGGGGAGAGGCGUUGUGCCAUGAGGUGUUGUUUUAUCUGUUUUUUGAAACCAGGUUUGCUGUUUAUUUGAGCAAUAUGAGAUGGAAGGAAAGUCCAUGCAAUAAGGCUCUAUAUAAUACUGUACGUUUUCUUGAAUUUGUUCUCGAUUUGGAGACUGUGAAAAGACCCCUGGUGGCAUGUCUGCUGGGAUAAGUGUGUGUCAGAGCUGUAUGUAAGUUGACUAUGCAAACAAUUUGGGAUUUUCAACGCUGUUUAUUGUAAAAAGAAAUAAGUGAUGCAGUCAGUUUCUCCUCAACUCUUAUCCAGGAGAGACUGGCAUGUAUAGUAUUUAUAUCAGUCCUCUGAUUACAAUGAAGAGCAAGACGUGCUGCUCUGUUCUGGACCAGCUGCAGCUUAACUAGGUCUUUCCUUGCAGCACUGGACCACACGACUGGACAAUAAUCAAGAUUAGACCAAACUAGAGCCUGCAGGAAUUGCUUUGUGGUGUCAAAAAAGCAGAGCAUCUCUUUAUUAUGGACAGACCUUUCCCCAUCUUUACAACCACUGAAUCUAUAUGUUUUGACCAUGACAGUUUACAUUCUAAGGUAACACCAAGUAUUUUAGUCUCUUCAACUUGUUCAACAGCCACACCAUUCAUUACCAGAUUCAGUUGAGGUCUAGAACUUAGGGAAUGAUAUGUACCAAAUACAAUGCUCUUAGUUGAAUAGAUGUUCAGGACCAGUUUAUUAUUGUCCACGCAUUCCAAAACAGACUGCAACUCUUUGUUAAGGGUUUCAGUGAGUUCAUUAGCUGUGGUUGCUGAUGCGUAUAUGGUUGAAUCAUCAGCAUACAUGAACACACAUGCUUUGUUUAAUGCAAGUGGCAGGUCAUUGUCUAUAAGCAUGCAAAAUGUCUGUUAAUUUGUUUACAGAAGGGCCUCACAGGGUGGCUUAGUGGUCUAAGGCACUGCAUCGCAGUGCUAGCUGUGCCACUAGAGAUUCUGGGUAAGAGACCAUGGGGCGGCGCACAAUUGGCCCAGCGUCGUCCGGGUUAGGGAGGGCUUGGUCGGCAGGGAUAUCCUGGUCUCAUCGCGCACUCCUGUGUUGGGCUGGGCGCACUGCACGCUGACCAGGUGUUUCCUCUGACACAUUGGUGUGGCUGGCUUCUGGGUUGGUUGUGCAUUGUGUCAAGAAGCAGUGCGGCUUGGUUGGGUUGUGUUUCGGAGGAAGCAUGGCUCUUGACCUUCACCUCUCCCAAGGUUGUACGGGAGUUGCAGUGAUGAGACAAGACUGUAACUACUACCAAUUGGAUACCAUGAAAUUGGGGGGUAAAAAAAGAAAAUUUACAGAGAAAUAGCAUUGUAUUUGGUCAAACACAAUUUUUUCCAACAGUUUGCUAAGAGCUGGCAGCAAGCUUAUAGGUCUGCUGUUAGAACCAGUAAAGGCUGCUUUACCACUCUUAGGUAGCGGAAUUACUUUGGCUUCCCUUCAGGCCUGAGGACAAAGACUUUCCUCUAGACUCAGAUUAAAGAUAUGACAGAUAGGAGUGGCUAUAGAGUCAGCCACCAUCCUUAGUAGCUUUCGAUCUAAGUUGUCAAUGCCAGGAGGUUUUUCAUUAUUUAUUUUUUUAUGCAUUAAUAUAAUUGCUCACUGUUUGUCGUGGGCAUUUCCUGCCUAAGUUUGCCCAUUUUGCAAAUGAAAUAAUCAUUAAAAUAAUUGGCAACAAAUGGUUUUGUGAUGAAUAAGUCAUCUGAUUUGAUGAAAGAUGGAGUUUAAUUUAGGGUUGAAUUUGUCUUUCUGUCCAUUAUUUCAUUUAAAAUACAAACGUUUUUUUCUCCAAAAUUCUUUAUAUAAUUGAUCUUGGCUUCUUCUUCUUUUUGUUGAGUUUAGUCACAUAAUUUCUCAAUUUGCAGUAAGUCAGCCAGUCAGAUGUGCAGCCAGACUUAUUAGCCACUCCUUUUGCCUCCAUCUCUUUCAACCAAUACAGUUUUUCAAUUCCUCAUCAAUCCAUGGAGCCUUUACAGUUCUAACAGUCAGUUUCUUAACAGGUUCAUGUUUAUCAAUAAUUGGAAGAGGCAAUUUCAUACAUUCAUCAAGUGCAGUGUCUGGAUGCUGCGUAUUAAUCACAUCAGACCAACAAAUAUGUUUAAUAUCAUCCACAUAAGCAAAAUCUUUUGUAUGAUCUCUUAUACACUAUUUUAGGACCAGCUGAUGGAACUUUGGCUUUCCUGCAUAUAGCCACUAUAUUGUGCUCACUGCAUCCAAUGGGUAUGGAUAUAGGUUUAGAAUAAAGUUCUACAGCAUUAGUAAAUAUGUGAUCGAUAUAUGUGGAUGAUCUUGUUCCUUUAGUGUUUGUAAACACCCUGAUAGGUUGAUUAAUAACCUGAACCAGAUUACAGGCACUGGUCACAGUGAGAAGCUUCCUCUUGAGCAGACAGCUUGAUUUAAACCAGUCAAUAUUCAGGUCCCCAAGAAAGUAGACCUCUCUGUUUACAUCACAUACACUAUCAAGCAUUUCACACAUAUUAUUUAGAUACUGACCGUUAGCACUUGGUGGCCUAUAGCAACACCCCAAAAGAAAAGGCUUUAGAUGUGCCAGGUGAACCUGCCACCACAACACUUCAAUAACACUUAAGAUCUUCUCUAAGCAUUAUACGGCUCUGAAUAUAUACAGCAACACCUCCCCCAUAAGCAUUACAGGGAUAUGACUGAAUA
Long non-coding RNA from Oncorhynchus tshawytscha (Chinook salmon), 5408 nucleotides. The record is from Ensembl. Lineage: Eukaryota; Metazoa; Chordata; Actinopteri; Salmoniformes; Salmonidae.